This 453-nucleotide small RNA is filed under the name Malus domestica (apple). RNAcentral describes it as "sRNA MD17G0067400". The record is from RNAcentral. Lineage: Eukaryota; Viridiplantae; Streptophyta; Magnoliopsida; Rosales; Rosaceae.
GAAAGGUGUUGAGCCAUUGUAUGACGGCGAGGGGCGAUGGCUCGAAGCCUAACGCUCCCGAAUUACGGCUGCUAGCUCGUUGGAAAUACUUUACCAGAUCAAGGUAUUAAGGUUUGCUUAAAAUUUAGUCCGCUUCAGUUAUUAGUUUUUAGUAUUGAGGGGUAUGAUUGAAUGGGAACAAUCGAAACCUUUUCGAAGAAACGCCCUAAUAUCCAGUUUAAAAGAAGAGGGGGUAACAACAACUACAAGAAAGGAAAGUGGAAUGAUUCAAGCAGUAAGCAACCUUCAGAGGAUUAUCAAUUGCUCAACACUGUGUAUCGUAUUCUCUGCCCUUCUAAAAGCUCAGUGGUGUUAUUGGGAAGGUUUGCAACAUAGUCAAAGCCCUUAGAGGAGACCCCAGCAAACAUUUAGGUUUCUGAUUCUGUUCUUGGCUCAGAUGAGGGAGUAAUUCUU